Molecule: small nucleolar RNA, 136 nt
Organism: Juglans regia (Persian walnut)
Lineage: Eukaryota; Viridiplantae; Streptophyta; Magnoliopsida; Fagales; Juglandaceae
Product: small nucleolar RNA Z247
Exons: 1
Source: RefSeq, a predicted model, not a curated record
GCCCUCAAAUGUGAUGAGAUCAUCACAUAUCUCUUUGCUGGUCUCGAACACAAGUAUGAUUCUCUUAUUACCAUUGUCUCUGUUAAAUAAAAUGUCACCUUAGAAGAGGUGUACUCUAUGCUGCUCACUUGUGAGG